Molecule: long non-coding RNA, 386 nt
Organism: Dermacentor albipictus
Lineage: Eukaryota; Metazoa; Arthropoda; Arachnida; Ixodida; Ixodidae
Source: RefSeq, a predicted model, not a curated record
GCAAGUUGGCAGGGAAGGCGUUUCAUAUGCUUGGAGUGUGCGAGCCUUGAAGCUAUAUGGAGCAAGCUAUGGUCUUAUAUUCUUGUAAUCUAAAGUCAGCAAUAACAAUGAUGGUUCUGAAUGGUCGCCAUGAAAGAAAUAUGGCUGGGAUUGUCUAUCCUCUUUGUCGCUGCAGCCGCUGUCAACAAAAGCCGUUUCCCUUCGUGCGUCACACGUUGCCGCAAUAGUACAACGCGGUCAUGUCUUCAUUUAAAGAACGGGGAGUGCAAGUGUGGCUGCGUGUCAUUCAACCAGUUAUGCGCACCAUGGAACAGGACGACAUGCCGGCCAUGUGGACCUUAUCCCCACUGCCAUCUGAUAGGCCGCGAAUGUGACUGCUACUGUUG